GAUGAAGAACGCAGCGAAAUGCGAUAAGUAGUGUGAAUUGCAGAAUUCAGUGAAUCAUCGAAUCUUUGAACGCACAUUGCGCCUCCUGGUAUUCCGGGAGGCAUGCCUGUUCGAGCGUCAUUAAAAUCACUCAAGCUUAGGUUUACCUAUUGCUUGGUCUUGGAGAUGGAAGCCAAUUUAUUGGAAUCCUCUUCGAAAUUCAAUGGCGAAGACCCUUGCUCUCCCAAGUGUAGUAAUAACUUAUGUCACUGAAGGAAGCGAGAAAUCUUCUGCCGUAACCCCCAUAUUUUCUAUGAUUGACCUCGGAUCAGGUAGGGAUACCCGCUGAACUUAAGCAUAUCAAUAAGCGGGGA
Molecule: unclassified non-coding RNA, 353 nt
Filed under: soil metagenome
Description: partial contains 5.8S ribosomal RNA, internal transcribed spacer 2, and large subunit ribosomal RNA
Rfam family: 5.8S ribosomal RNA (bases 1-120)
Source: RNAcentral